UACAAGGGCUAGGCGGGUGGUUAGGCCUCACCUGUAUCGGAGAGCGGUCUUUAUCCGAGCUGAAUGUCCUUGGACGGCAAGUCAGCUAUAUGUUGUCUUGUUUGUCGGCGUAGAAGUACAGCCUCGCUUGGUGCUGUGCUUUGGAAAUCCGCCAGGCCGGGAACGGAGCAACGGUAACCUUAGUAUGGUAUGCUUGUGAGAUACUGUAUGGAGCUGGCGGCAAGGUUAGCAGCAUAUGGUUUGUUUUGUCAACCUAGGAUGCCCGUUUA
RNAcentral lists this signal recognition particle RNA (269 nucleotides) under Nanobdellati archaeon. Its description in RNAcentral is "signal recognition particle sRNA". It matches the Rfam family "Archaeal signal recognition particle RNA". Lineage: Archaea; Nanobdellati. The record is from RNAcentral.